CUCAGACCAAACUAAAACACACGCAUACAACAACAGUAGCCAUUCUUUCUCUGCAGAUCUAAAAACACAUAGAAACUCAAAUCCUCGAACUUCCAUCUCAAACAUACAGACAUCCACAAUCAAUCACUCCAUACCCUUCCUCUCGUGCUCCUCUCUGUCUCGUUACAGCCAGCCGGCGACUAACUGGCCGAUGUCGGCUGUUCUCUGGGUGCCGGCGGUACUGUUUUCUCCGUCUACCGACCUCAUCUAAACCCUCCUACACCCCCUUCAUCAGUAUAGAGAUGACCACCACCACCACCACCAUCGGGUGGUGGUGAGCGACGGAUGGACCGAGAAAUCGAGGAGAGAGUGAGAGAAAGCUGAGAGAUUGAGAGUGAAAGAGAGACCGGAGGAGGGUGGUGACGGCGACAGCCGGCGCCGUCUGCGGAGGAGCGAUGGAGGAGACAAUGAUGGUGGUGGGUUAUUUUUCAACAUAUUUCUGAUAUUGAAGAUGGUGGUAGUGGUGCGACACCACCGUCGGAAACCUCUGGCCGACUGAUGGUGACGACCGUGGAGGUGGUUUCGGGUCAAGAUAUUCAAGCUCGGUUUAAAUUUCGUACUCGUAUUCUGAUUUGUUUCAAGGUUUGGUUCGGGUUACUCAGAUUCACGUUGGUUUGGGGCUUACAAGAAAACAAGGGUGAUUCGGGCAGUGAUUCAGUUCAACAGGUUCGGAUGUAGGUUAAAACGAGUAAAUUCUGCUUCCGUUCGGGUCAACUCGGUCAAACCGAGUCGACUCGGUCAACACCCGAGUCAACUCGGGUCAACAGGGGUAAAACAGGUCAACGCCAGUCAAACAUCAACUCGGGUCAACCCUUGGUCAAAGAUGGUCAAACUCGGUCAACUGAGGUCAAACUCAGUCAACACGAGACGCGGAAUGCUUUAGUUGCACGCUAGCGAGGUCACGUUCUUGGAACGGCACUACGGAAACACGCUAGGCUAGCUUUGCACCGGAAUGUCAACGUUACAUUUUUCAAACUAUGGAACGGUUGGAAUAGGAGAACCCACGAGAUUUCGAGUACCUAGCAGGCGUUCACUGUUUAGAAGUCUUAGCCUUUUGCUUCCGCUGUGCAAUGAAGAUACCGGUCCAGUCACGCCAAGCUCUGAUAUUUCGGGGUGUGACAACCAGUUUGCAAAUUAAUAUAUAACAGGUAAUUAAACAACAAUUAUAUUACCAAACAUUUAUUUUUAACAUCACUUGGAACACUAGUUUGACAGGCAUGUAGUAUUGCAUACACAUAGAACAACGUACGUGCAUAGCUAGAAAUAUUCGCUUAUCAAACACACAAUAAGCACAAGAAAAAUAAAUUACAACAAAGAUAUUUGUUAACACGGACAAACACCAUGCAUUUAGUGUUCAAUCUUAAAUAGCUAAUGGGUGAACCAAUAGCGAUUUGAUGUGAUUUAUCAUCUCCUUCCUAGCAUGAGUGUAGCUGUCGUUGACUUUCAAUAUAAUAAAUGUUAGUAAUUAUGUUUCCAUCAUUUCAUUUUACUGUUUGCAGUUACUGUGUUUUAUUUUCAGAUUCAUCUGUUUUAUGGUGUACCACGUCCCAUCUUGACGGCUGUAAUUAUGGCGUUUUGUUUUCCAAUGGCGUUUAGAUAAAGAAGGCACUUGUUGUUUUAUUCUCUUUGCACAUUGUUUUAACCUUUUUAAGAUUUAUUAUAAUAGUACUUGUUCAA
This is a long non-coding RNA of Helianthus annuus (common sunflower), 1716 nucleotides long. RefSeq lists it as uncharacterized. The record is from RefSeq and is a predicted model, not a curated record. Lineage: Eukaryota; Viridiplantae; Streptophyta; Magnoliopsida; Asterales; Asteraceae. The transcript has 4 exons.